AUACUUAGUACGGCGAGUGAGCGGUAAAAGCUCAAAUUUGAAAUCUGGUACUUUCAGUGCCCGAGUUGUAAUUUGUAGAAUUUGUCUUUGAUUAGGUCCUUGUCUAUGUUCCUUGGAACAGGACGUCAUAGAGGGUGAGAAUCCCGUUUGGCGAGGAUACCUUUUCUCUGUAAGACUUUUUCGAAGAGUCGAGUUGUUUGGGAAUGCAGCUCAAAGUGGGUGGUAAAUUCCAUCUAAAGCUAAAUAUUGGCGAGAGACCGAUAGCGAACAAGUACAGUGAUGGAAAGAUGAAAAGAACUUUGAAAAGAGAGUGAAAAAGUACGUGAAAUUGUUGAAAGGGAAGGGCAUUUGAUCAGACAUGGUGUUUUUUGCAUGCACUCGCCUCUCGUGGGCUUGGGCCUCUCAAAAAUUUCACUGGGCCAACAUCAAUUCUGGCAGUAGGAUAAAUCAUUAAGAAUGUAGCUACCUCGGUAGUGUUAUAGCUUAUUGGAAUACUGCUAGCUGGGAUUGAGGACUGCGCUUCGGCAAGGAUGUUGGCAUAAUGGUUAAAUGCCGCCCGUCUU
Molecule: ribosomal RNA, 563 nt
Filed under: Hanseniaspora opuntiae
Lineage: Eukaryota; Fungi; Ascomycota; Saccharomycetes; Saccharomycodales; Saccharomycodaceae
Description: partial large subunit ribosomal RNA
Rfam family: Eukaryotic large subunit ribosomal RNA
Source: RNAcentral